AAUGCCGGAUGCUCCAUCACACCGCAUGGUGUGUUGGGAAAGCCUUUGCGGCAUGGGAUGGGGUCGCGUCCUAUCAGCUUGAUGGCGGGGUAACGGCCCACCAUGGCUUCGACGGGUAGCCGGCCUGAGAGGGCGACCGGCCACAUUGGGACUGAGAUACGGCCCAGACUCCUACGGGAGGCAGCAGUGGGGAAUAUUGCACAAUGGGCGCAAGCCUGAUGCAGCGACGCCGCGUGAGGGAUGGAGGCCUUCGGGUUGUAAACCUCUUUUGUUAGGGAGCAAGGCAUUUUGUGUUGAGUGUACCUUUCGAAUAAGCACCGGCUAACUACGUGCCAGCAGCCGCGGUAAUACGUAGGGUGCAAGCGUUAUCCGGAAUUAUUGGGCGUAAAGGGCUCGUAGGCGGUUCGUCGCGUCCGGUGUGAAAGUCCAUCGCUUAACGGUGGAUCCGCGCCGGGUACGGGCGGGCUUGAGUGCGGUAGGGGAGACUGGAAUUCCCGGUGUAACGGUGGAAUGUGUAGAUA
This 521-nucleotide ribosomal RNA is filed under the name Bifidobacterium breve. RNAcentral's name for it is "bacterial SSU rRNA". It matches the Rfam family "Bacterial small subunit ribosomal RNA", at positions 165 to 696 of the family's 1533-position model. Lineage: Bacteria; Bacillati; Actinomycetota; Actinomycetes; Bifidobacteriales; Bifidobacteriaceae. The record is from RNAcentral.